RNAcentral lists this long non-coding RNA (477 nucleotides) under Cricetulus griseus (Chinese hamster). RNAcentral describes it as "lncRNA (ENSCGRG00015034018.1)". The record is from RNAcentral. Lineage: Eukaryota; Metazoa; Chordata; Mammalia; Rodentia; Cricetidae.
AUUCAUAUACAUAAAUAAUGUUUUUUAAAAAGUUGGGUGUGAUAGAAAAUGGUUACAAUUUGCUGGUGACAAUGGGCCCCCGGGGCUCACUGGCUGGCCACCCUGCUCCAGAUCCCAAUGAGAGAAUACCAGGUGGAUGGAUAGUGGAAGGAACCAUGUCUGAGGUUGCUUCUGGCCCUCAUGUUCACACACAUCUGCAUAUGCAUGCAAACAUUAACUUAAAGCAGCUUUGUUAAAAUUUUGAGAGUAACACUAAGUGAGAGCAGGGGUCAUCAGCUACUGGACAGGCCGGAGUGACCAUGGGAAGAGCAGGACCAUGCCGAGUGCUUUACAAUGGGACCAGAACGACCAAACAGACAAGCCCAUGCAUCCGCCCGUGACUCACGGACUUUGCUUCCCAUCAUCAAACCGCUCUUGCAGAAACGGUCUACAGAGUAAAACACUGUCUGGGAUCCGAGCCUCGGCCUUUUAGGCAGC